CUCUCCAUUCUGGAGGCUGGGAGUCCAAGAUCAAGGGGCCAGCUGAUUCAGUUCCUGCUGAGGAAACUGAGAUCCAAUGAGGUUAAGUGACCAGCACGGAGCCCAACUCACAUCUGAUGUGCCCGUCGCUCAGCCUAAAAAAGAAUAUUCUAACCAUUAGAUGUAGCCAGCAAUGGAGUGGCAAGGAUUGCCACAUGGUCUCUUUGCUCUGAGCCUGAUCCAGUAGAGCCUGAGUAACCAUCUGUUAGGGCUACUGAAGAAAGGAGAUCGAUUUAGACAA
Molecule: long non-coding RNA, 280 nt
Organism: Suricata suricatta (meerkat)
Lineage: Eukaryota; Metazoa; Chordata; Mammalia; Carnivora; Herpestidae
Exons: 2
Source: RefSeq, a predicted model, not a curated record